GUACUCACUUCAGCAGCACGUAUACUAAAAUUGGAGUGAUACAGAGAAGAUUGGCAUGGCCACUGCAUGGACAUGCAAAACAUACAAAAAAUAAAUGGCCAGAAUUU
Small nuclear RNA from Talpa occidentalis (Iberian mole), 107 nucleotides. NCBI's taxonomy places the organism in Eukaryota, Metazoa, Chordata, Mammalia, Eulipotyphla, Talpidae. The record is from RefSeq and is a predicted model, not a curated record.